GACGAACGCUGGCGGCGUGCCUAAUACAUGCAAGUAGAACGCUGAAGAGAGGAGCUUGCUCUUCUGGAUGAGUUGCGAACGGGUGAGUAACGCGUAGGUAACCUGCCUUGUAGCGGGGGAUAACUAUUGGAAACGAUAGCUAAUACCGCAUAACAAUGAGUGACACAUGUCAUUUAUUUGAAAGGGGCAAUUGCUCCACUACAAGAUGGACCUGCGUUGUAUUAGCUAGUAGGUGAGGUAACGGCUCACCUAGGCGACGAUACAUAGCCGACCUGAGAGGGUGAUCGGCCACACUGGGACUGAGACACGGCCCAGACUCCUACGGGAGGCAGCAGUAGGGAAUCUUCGGCAAUGGGGGCAACCCUGACCGAGCAACGCCGCGUGAGUGAAGAAGGUUUUCGGAUCGUAAAGCUCUGUUGUAAGUCAAGAACGAGUGUGAGAGUGGAAAGUUCACACUGUGACGGUAGCUUACCAGAAAGGGACGGCUAACUACGUGCCAGCAGCCGCGGUAAUACGUAGGUCCCGAGCGUUGUCCGGAUUUAUUGGGCGUAAAGCGAGCGCAGGCGGUUUGAUAAGUCUGAAGUUAAAGGCUGUGGCUCAACCAUAGUUCGCUUUGGAAACUGUCAAACUUGAGUGCAGAAGGGGAGAGUGGAAUUCCAUGUGUAGCGGUGAAAUGCGUAGAUAUAUGGAGGAACACCGGUGGCGAAAGCGGCUCUCUGGUCUGUAACUGACGCUGAGGCUCGAAAGCGUGGGGAGCGAACAGG
This 764-nucleotide ribosomal RNA is filed under the name uncultured Streptococcus sp. Its description in RNAcentral is "bacterial SSU rRNA". It matches the Rfam family "Bacterial small subunit ribosomal RNA", at positions 28 to 776 of the family's 1533-position model. The record is from RNAcentral. Lineage: Bacteria; Bacillati; Bacillota; Bacilli; Lactobacillales; Streptococcaceae.